UGUUUGAUGUUCUAACGUGGACCCGUGAUCCGGGUUGCGGACAGUGUCUGGUGGGUAGUUUGACUGGGGCGGUCUCCUCCUAAAGAGUAACGGAGGAGCACGAAGGUUGGCUAAUCCUGGUCGGACAUCAGGAGGUUAGUGCAAUGGCAUAAGCCAGCUUGACUGCGAGCGUGACGGCGCGAGCAGGUGCGAAAGCAGGUCAUAGUGAUCCGGUGGUUCUGAAUGGAAGGGCCAUCGCUCAACGGAUAAAAGGUACUCCGGGGAUAACAGGCUGAUACCGCCCAAGAGUUCAUAUCGACGGCGGUGUUUGGCACCUCGAUGUCGGCUCAUCACAUCCUGGGGCUGAAGUAGGUCCCAAGGGUAUGGCUGUUCGCCAUUUAAAGUGGUACGCGAGCUGGGUUUAGAACGUCGUGAGACAGUUCGGUCCCUAUCUGCCGUGGGCGCUGGAGAACUGAGGGGGGCUGCUCCUAGUACGAGAGGACCGGAGUGGACGCAUCACUGGUGUUCGGGUUGUCAUGCCAAUGGCACUGCCCGGUAGCUAAAUGCGGAAGAGAUAAGUGCUGAAAGCAUCUAAGCACGAAACUUGCCCC
RNAcentral lists this ribosomal RNA (590 nucleotides) under Salmonella enterica. RNAcentral describes it as "partial 23S ribosomal RNA". It matches the Rfam family "Bacterial large subunit ribosomal RNA", at positions 2211 to 2800 of the family's 2925-position model. RNAcentral also lists the same sequence under 3 other names. The record is from RNAcentral. Lineage: Bacteria; Pseudomonadati; Pseudomonadota; Gammaproteobacteria; Enterobacterales; Enterobacteriaceae.